Molecule: small nuclear RNA, 102 nt
Organism: Suricata suricatta (meerkat)
Lineage: Eukaryota; Metazoa; Chordata; Mammalia; Carnivora; Herpestidae
Source: Ensembl
ACUUGAACAGCAUGUAUUACUAAAAUUGGAGCAAUACAGAGAAGAUUAGCAUGGCCCCUGCAUAGGGAAGACACAUAAAUUCAUGAAGUGUUCCGUGUUUUA